Molecule: non-coding RNA, 7453 nt
Organism: Podarcis lilfordi (Lilford's wall lizard)
Lineage: Eukaryota; Metazoa; Chordata; Lepidosauria; Squamata; Lacertidae
Source: the annotation of a GenBank genome assembly
UUUGCAAUCCAUGAGUGAAGAUUAAGCAGCGAGAGGACUGACCCUGAUCUUCACUGUAUGUUCGUUGCUUAAAGGACAUUGGCAGGAAAUGGUCAGCCUGAGGACACAAUGAAAGGAAACAAACGCAGCAGAAAAAGUUUCACUGAUAACAUGUGAUCGGAGCUGGUGAGCAGCUUCAGCCGGUCAUCCAGCUAUUCAGGCCAAAGUCUCAAAAGCACAGUGCUGACUCCAACAAGAAUGUGUCAGAAAAGCAUGUGCAGGGCUGGUGAAUGACACCUGACACACGGCAGGUGGGCAGGGAGGGAGGGAAAAUGCUUUUUGCAAAUUACCAUAUUGUGCAAUGCACUUCUUGUUUAAUCAGUCAACGUCCAUUUGAGAAUGCUUCUUUUGGAAUGAAUUGAAAGGUGGCCGUGUGUCAACAGUAAUAAUAUAUGCUCUGUGAAAGAUGGAAUCAUAGAUAUAGUGGGUGCUCAGCAAAAUCAACCAUUCAUUCCAUCUUUUUGCAUCUUAGCAGUUGAAAAUACACUAUGCUAGGAAUCAGCUGCUUGCUUGAAGAUAUCCAUACAGACUUUUCACCCUGUAUAGGGUGUCCGGUUCUUGUAAGGCUUGCUGAGCCAAUCGGAAGAGGUAUUAGAAUAGAACAAGCAAUAUUCUCUGUAGCAUGCUCAACCUGGGUCCUUUUCUACAGUAGAGGCCUCACAAAGAGAGCGGGGAGGGGGAGAGAGAGAAAGGAAGAGAGCGCACGAUUGUAUAGGGACUUCCAGACUAAGCAUGAGGAAACUAAGUGGCUUUCUGGAUGUUCUUUGACUUCGAUCAGGCCCAGCCAGCAGCCAAUGGUCAGAGAUGAUGGAAAUUGCAGUUCAAAAACAUCGGAAAGGCCACACCCCUGAUGUCCAACUUGUGGUUCAACAGACAGAAUUGUGCCACCACCUAUGACCUACUCGCUUGAGAAAUGUAAGUCCCAUAUUUCUACUGGUGGCAUUUUCUUAGCAUAAGCAGAAGAGGCCAACAUUAGUUUAAAGUAUUUAUACCCCUCUCUUUAGCUGAAGAGACCCCUACAAACAUCAGUCAUGGUCUAAGAGUGCAUAAAAGACUCACACUAGAUCCCAGGGAAAGCACUGAAAAGCAUUUGUGACUUGUAUAAUUACUAUACAUUCAUUCCUCGGGUUGCGAACGUGAUCCGUGCAGGAGGCAGCCUGAAGCAGCCUGAAGCGCUGCAUCUGCACACACGCAUGAUGCGAUUCGGUGCUUCUGCGCAUGCGCAUUAUGUCAUUUUGUGUUUGCAAGCGCCGAAACCCGGAAGUAACCUGUUCCAGUACUUCUGGGUUCGGCGCAGUCUGCAACCUGAAAACGCGCAACCCGUAGCGUUCGUAACCCGAGGUAUGACUGUAUAAAGAGCCAUGUCAGGAUAUAUGUACACAAAUCAGGGAGCCAAAAUAUAAAGACUUUAAACAAUGGGAACCAAAGAAGCUAAACGACAGCACGAAUCUUCAAAUUUUUCAUAACAGACAGGGCCUAUAAGGGUUAUGGAAAGGGACCUGUGUUACAAUUUUUACCUGGCACAGAUAAAUGAUGCUUUGCUAAUGGGUAUCUGGUUCGCCACAGAGACUAAUAGGAUGCUCAAUGAAAUGGAUCCGACAUCUGAUCCAGCUUCCUAUUCUUAGGCAUGUUCACACAUUACAUUCAACUGGGUUAGGGGAGAAAUUCAAUUCACAUUUAAAGGUGAACUUACUAAUUUGCAUUUUACAAAACAACACACAAACUUUGUGUUGCUCUGAAGUUUGCAAUGCACUUCUCCAGCCAAGUAUUAUUUACCAAAAAAAAUCAUACAGUGUGGCUGUAGAUUCAUAUAUUAGUGAAAAUAACACACAAACCCCCAUUGUAUUAUGGGGAAAUGCUUUUCAAAAAUGUAUAUAUCAGGAUAAAUUCCAUACGAGAAUGUGUAAGGAGAUUUGCACUGAAAUGCUGAUGAACAAAGCUUUAAAAAAAUGGAUUGCAAAUUAAUGUGGAGAACCUCAGAUUGGAAAAAUGAGAAACUGUGAGAAGGCAAAAUUGACUCCAACAUAUUCACUCAAUCCUACAUUCAAAGAAUGUACAACACAGUAGAUGAGCUAUACAAAUUAACAAGUGUAAUAAUAAUAAUAAUAAUAAUAAUAAUAAUAAUAAUUAUACCCCGCCCAGCCACUCUGGGCAGCUUACAGCUUACACAUAAAGACAUAGUAAAAUGUCAAACUUUAAAAACUUCCCAAUACACCGCUGCCUUCAGAUGCCUUCUAAAAGUUGCACAGUUCUUUAUCUCCUUGAUAUCUAAUGGGAGGGCGUUCUACAGGGAGGGUGCCACUACUGAGAAGGCCCUCUGCCUAGUGUAAACUCUUUCAAACACCUUCACAUGUGCAAAGACACUCUGUGUUCAGAGUAAUGUGUGAAGAAGCAAUUUAAGAGACAUUACAUGAGUGAAAAACACCUUUUACAUGUGGAAGAGCACUUUGGGGUCCAACAAAUAGUUUUUUUUCUCUCAUUGAGAGGGAGGGCAUCCAGUAAUGAUGUGAAAUCACUACAUAUUAUUCUUUUGAAGAGCUCUAACUUUUUCUGUUUUUUUUCCCCACCUUUCAAAAUGCUGCCAGGGAUAACAUGCUUUCUAGUUAAUACGUAAUAAAAAGUACAAUGCCUUUCAUAUAAUCAUCCAGGAAAAACAGGAUUUGGGUCAGUUAAUUUCAAACAGGCUUCAGUGGCCUUUCCAGCUGGCAAUGGCACCAGUAUCAAAACGCCUGGCAGAGCUAUCAGUCUUCAGAUGUGAUGGUACGAUCAAAUUAUGAAGGAAACAACACAAAAAGCAAUGGAAAUACUUCAUUUUGGCUGUCAGACUUCGCAAGGAGGAGCGGAUUUCCAAAACUGAGUCGACAUUGGCGUUAUAAAAUUGGAGAUGAAGCUCAAAGUUUAUGUUCUAAGUGUGAUAACUCUCAACAUAUCGAAUGCCAGUUGCUUCUGCUUGUAGGCCAGCAUAAGGCCGUAUAAGGGCACCUCACAUCUCCUGGCAACCACGUUGUUAAGGACAGAUUACUUUUGUACAGUAUGAAAUUAUGAAAGGAGAAAGAGUGAGAAAGCAUAUUUUUAAAAGGCACUUAUAAAUGAACAGAGGGCAGCGCUGUCAUGUUGCACUUUCCUUGUGUACAUUGCUUUUUUAGGCUGGGGAGUGCUUCUGACAUUACAAAGUGAAAUAACAAAUUCCCUUUUAUUGUUUAUUGAAAAGAGUCUUGCCUUUCUUUCCCCCUCUGGAACAAAACUCCCACGUUCCUUCAGACACUAACAAGGACACCAUGGGCGUAGCUAGGAUUUUUGUUAUGGGGGGCAGGCCUUUUGUUGGGGGGGGAGAACCUCAGUUAGCUAUGUAUUUUUAUUGAUUUUUAUUGAUUUAGGGGGGCAGCUGCCCCUCUCUGCCCCCCUCGCGGCUAUGCCCAUGAAGGACACUGCAUUGACCCACUUGUGGAUGGGCUCUAGCUCAGUGGCAGAGCAUCGAUUUGCAUGCUAGAAGGUCCUAGGGAAGAGAGGGUGCCCUGCACCACCUUUAUAUUUUAAAGAAGAACCAUAGUUCAGUGGUAGGGUAUUGGCUUUGCAUGCAGAAGGUCCCAGGAGGUUUGAUUCCUACUAUAUCCAGGUAGGACUGGGAAUAUCCCCAUCCUGAAUCCUGAAGAUUCGGUGCCAGUCCAUGUGGACAAUACUGAACUAGAUUCACCAGUGGGCCUGACUCAGUUUAAUGCAGUUUCCUAUGUUCCCAUGUUUCCUCUCAAAAGGAUUUCUAGGAGACACUCAACUGUGUUGAAAGAUGGGCUUAGUCAUCUAGGACAUGUUUCAUAGGCCUCUAAACAGUCCAUCUGUGUUUAUUGAAAGUGUUGGGUGGGCAAGCUGCCUCUUCAUGUUGAGGCAAACUCCUCGGCUUUCAACCCAGUAUUCCCAUUUACUCCGAAACCUACAAGUUACAACUGAGUAAUUGGCUACUUUUCGAUGAAGAAUGAAGGGAAAGAGCUUCCAGGCUGAGUGUGACUUCGCCAGCCCAGCUUCCUUCUGGAAUAUUCGUUUUCCGUAAGGAAUGAAGUGCCGUGGCACUGAAAUUCACUCUUUCUCUCCCCCCUCUGUUGUAAUUUUGGCUUUUUAAAAAUAAUGCAGAAAAUAAUAUACAUUUCAAGGGAGUUAACCUUUGGUCCUCGCCCUUUUUCUGCCAAGUCGACCAACCAUUGGUAGUUUAGUUGGACUGACUUAUGUGGAAAAAGAAUGAAAAAGCUUUGAAUUCCAAGCUUUGAGACACUCAAACACUGUGUCAGGGAACUGCCAUCAGUGCCAGAGGGAGAGAGCAAGAUCCAGAGGGAUUCCAGAGAGCGCCCCGGGAUUGGGAGAGGCAGCCCAUCCUCUGGGGAAGAGAAUCAGCGUAGCACCAGUGGAGAAGGGGGGCAGAUGGGGGAAGCGGCGAGGCGGUCCCAUGACUCCUUGCCGGGGACCAGCGGGGAGAGUAGGGGUCCUCCGCUGCCUACGCCCUCCUUGCGCAGAAGGCUUUCGCGCAGAGAGAGUAGGAGGAGUCUAGGCGUCAAAGAGCUUCUUUGCUGGAAGAAGUUUAAGAAACGCCCACUGACGGAUUCUGCCAGCGAUUGAGACAGCCACGGGUGAGUGGCUGUCCGGACAGAAAAGGUUAACUCAGGCAACCCAGCCAGGUGUUUGCACCGGCUUACGCACGAGCAAUCCCUAGAACCACUACACACUGAUUUAUCAGUCCUUCAUGUACUGGAUGAAGCCAUACUGGACAAGGUGAAUGAGGAAAUAAGUAGUGAUGGGUGAACUCCCUUUCUUACAGUAUUGACUUUGUCAGUAUGAGCUUUUUUAGAACAUGUCGUGUGUGUGCACCUUUUCAUCUUGCCGUCUUGCCUCUCUUCCCAAAACAACCAUAUCCAGGAACAAAAACCACAUCGAACAUUUGUAUGAAAUAGACAGAAGUGACUCAAAUAGAGUAGACAUUUGCCAAAGAAAAGGCUUUAGUUGGGUGGUCUGGACAUGUCAAUAACAGCAAUCAGUGAACGUUCCGCUGAGAAGAAUAUUAAAGAAAUUCUGCAAGCGCACUUACUGGCAUUGUAGUUCAUAUUUCAUUUCACAACAAUCAGUGAGAUUAUCGGUGAGGUUAAGGGGUUUAAACUUUUGCACAUAUGCCUACAAAGCAGCUGGCUUUGGGUGCCGAUUGGCUGUAUGCCAACUGCACAUGCGCAGAAUUGCAUUCUGCUUUCUUUGCUGAUGAAGAAACCUUGUAAUUAAAAACAUUCACAGCAUUGUUACAAAUGAGUGCUAGAAAUAGUUAUGAGCAUACUUCACUUGCACUGCAAUUGAAUAUACCCACGCACCAGGAAUAAGCCCUAUUGAAUUUAACAGGACUCCUGAUUAAUAUGUAAUAUGUGUUAAUACUUAAAUUAGAUGUUCAUCUUACAAGACCCAGAGUCUUAUAAGUUUAAGCUACAAGUUCAACGAACAAUAGGCUGGAUCCAGUGCAGACCUUUUGUAAGUGGAUUCCCACAUAAGUGGGAAUGCAGUUUUUGCUGAUUCUCCUUCUUGAGAUCUCCUCCUUCCCCUCCCAUGCUAUUCCACAGAAUCCCUGAGCUAGAGCAGAGGGCUGCAGAGAGAAAUGGCAUCGGAAACUCCCGUCUCCGCCUGCCCAUCCUUCCAUGAGUAGAUCUUUGGUCCAUCAGUAGAUCUAGCCCAAGUGUGUUUGAUAUAAAAACUUCUAGUAUGAUAGAUAAUCCAUGGAGGUCAAAAUGCAUUGCAUUUCUUUCUCUUCUCAAAUUGCCUAUUUUCUGGUUUUACAUCUGAAAUUCAGAUUUUCCUUUAAUUCUUUAAGUUAUAGCCACUGUCUCAGAUCUUAUGGGGUAUGAGAUCUUACUCAGCCCUCAGUGGAAUAGAAGCAGACAUUGACUUUAUAACUUUUUACAAAUAUUUAAAAUCCCAUUGUCUUCCAUACAAAUUCCCCAAAACUAGUCAAUUUCAAAGAAAGAGGAAGAGACAUCAUCUUCCUAUGAGCAAAGGUUUGGAUCAGAGGACUUCCUCUUAAUUUCUGACUAUUGUCCUCAUAUUUCAUUCCUUUUUGUCAUGAAAACAACAUCUUCCUAGACCCUUCUUUAGACAGAAAGGAAACAUGUUGGAAACAUUAUUAAUGUGACCUAACAUAAACUCCUUAUUUAAACAGAAAAUCCAAAUAAGAUUUUACCAUAGGGGAGAAUUUUCUGAUUUAAUGUGUUUUUACAAGCACUUGAGAGGAAGAAAAAAUAAAAAUGAUCAAGUAAACAAGAUAAAAAGGCUGAGCUUUGGGACAUUAUCUAAAGGCAGCAAGCAGAGUAGAAGAAAUUAUCAGAAUUAUGUUUUCUUUCUUUACUGUGGGGAGGGGGAAUGCAGGGAAAAUGAAAAUGAAAAAGCACAACCCAGUAAAACAUACAGCCAGAAUGAAGGGACUUGAAAGCAAAAGAAAAUGAGAUACAAAAAUAUAUAAUUAUGUUCCUUAUGGUAAAAUUAGGGUAGCAUAUGUAGUACCGUACUACUACAGCCUCCCUUCACUCAAAACGGAUGCUAUCUUAAGCAGUUUACAAUAAAUAGGCCAGUUAUAGAUUAGGGCUAAUUCAAACCAGAAUACCCAAAAUUAUCUGUGUUAUGGAGAAGUUAAACAAAAGGCAUAUAUAUUUGUGUAUGUAUGCAUUAAAAGCUGUGUCUACUGUAGAUUCUGCUUAACAGUUUUCCAUCACCUUGCACCAGGAGUCGCAGGAUUCUCCUGCCCCAUAUUUUUUUUUUUUAUUGUACAGAUCAGUCAAAAUAUAGUUAAACAUAAUUAAUAAAAAAGGGGAGCAGAUAAUGUAUACUGUAAAUAGUUUAUUAAGCAUGUAAUCGGUCAUUAUUGCACAACACUUUCAUUCUCAUGAUUUGCAAAUCAUAGCACUUGGCUGUUAAUGAUACUUGUGGAAUAGAUUUAUUUAUAUUCUAGAACGUGAUCCUGUUGAGAUGUCCAUUCUAUAAUGUUCAGGGAUUACUUCUGCAAAUAUAAUCAUAUACACGAAAAGUGUAAUAUAUGUUGGAGGGAUUUUUUUUUAGUGCCAAUCCCAAAGAGUCCAUAGGAGAUGCAGUCUCACGCAUGUUGGCAAGGUGACAAGCCACACAUGUGUGGAAAUGACUAAUUAGCUAGGGGACAUGGGAAUCUGAUAUUGCUCCCAUUGGUAGAGACAUGUCAUGGAAAGGCCUGGAUGUUCUUAAUUACAGAGGAAAUUGCGCCACCCGCCUGCCCCGGCGGUCAAAGGUCAUGGAAAAUUGAAGAGAGUUCCUCAGGUACACCUUUAUUUCACACAUUGGUGGCAGUCCCUUCAAAAAGAAUGAAAAGACCCAAAUCUCGAAGCAUCUGUUGUUCAAAUUCUCACUUCUAAAUAAACCAGUCAGUCCA